UCUUUAUGUUAAUACUUUGUACUAAUAUAACCUACAAUAGUUAUACAAAAUUCCAAAAAAAAAAAAAUACACUAAACCCGGCCCGGCCCGGCCCCCUCAACAUGUAACCCUUACGGUUCAAUUUUUACCCGGAUGAACCCGAACCCGUUAAACCCGUUAAGAACCAACCUGGAACCAGACCGGACCGUAACCCGUACGGGUCCAAAAAAUAGUGGCCCGGCCCACCCGUUUAACACCUUUAGGUUAAAGUGAAUACCUGAAGUCUGUGCAAUUCAUCUGACAUUGAUUUAUAGGCAUUCAAGAGUAGUUCACUUUCUUUCUCCAGAUGCCUGUACCAAAAACAUUAUUCAGAGACCAAAAUAAACACCCAGUCACCCACAUAAAACCAAGAAAAGAAAACAUCUUUCAUACAAGCAGAACAUUAUGAAGAAAGAGGAAAGUAACUCAAAAAUAUAAAUUACUUAAAGGUUUCUCCUGCAUAUUUGGGAUCCAUGAAAAAAAAUUGAUCUUUAGCCACAAAUCCUUAGGGGUCGUAGGAAUUCGCUCAAUUACAGGAGAAUCAAAGCUUCAGACUGAUUCAGCAAUCCCACGAAUUCUAACAGAGAAUGAUAUUUUCGAAAAGAAGAAACGGAUUAUAAUAAAUUCUACCGCCAGCAGAUUAUACCCGAACAAAACAAGGGGGAGAAAUUAAAAAAUAGUCAGAUUAACAGUGGUAAUACAAAAAUAACCGCAAUUUAAAAGAGUAAUUGAAAUUUAACCACUUUUUAGUAAAAUAAACAAAAAUACUGUUCAAAAUCUACAAAAAUAUUCCAGCAUAAAUAUACUGGUCCAACAUAAUAUACUGUAGAUUGGAGCAGUAUAUUAUACUAGAACUUUCUGCAUGUUGGAGUUUCAGCAUAAUAUGUUGGACAGGUGCACCAUCUC
Molecule: long non-coding RNA, 924 nt
Filed under: Nicotiana tabacum (common tobacco)
Lineage: Eukaryota; Viridiplantae; Streptophyta; Magnoliopsida; Solanales; Solanaceae
Description: long non-coding RNA (NTAB_LNC012723)
Source: RNAcentral